This is a non-coding RNA of Fomes fomentarius, 85 nucleotides long. The record is from the annotation of a GenBank genome assembly. Lineage: Eukaryota; Fungi; Basidiomycota; Agaricomycetes; Polyporales; Polyporaceae.
UCUUUGUUAGUAUAUCGGUUAGUACACGCGCUUGUCAUACUGCGUGCGACCGCGCGAAAGCGGGGUUCGACUCCCCGACAGAGAG